AUUGAACGCUGGCGGCAUGCUUUACACAUGCAAGUCGGACGGCAGCACAGAGAAGCUUGCUUCUUGGGUGGCGAGUGGCGAACGGGUGAGUAAUAUAUCGGAACGUACCGAGUAAUGGGGGAUAACUAAUCGAAAGAUUAGCUAAUACCGCAUAUUCUCUGAGGAGGAAAGCAGGGGACCUUCGGGCCUUGCGUUAUUCGAGCGGCCGAUAUCUGAUUAGCUAGUUGGUGGGGUAAAGGCCUACCAAGGCGACGAUCAGUAGCGGGUCUGAGAGGAUGAUCCGCCACACUGGGACUGAGACACGGCCCAGACUCCUACGGGAGGCAGCAGUGGGGAAUUUUGGACAAUGGGCGCAAGCCUGAUCCAGCCAUGCCGCGUGUCUGAAGAAGGCCUUCGGGUUGUAAAGGACUUCUGUCAGGGAAGAAAAGGCUGUUGCUAAUACCGACAGCUGAUGACGGUACCUGAAGAAUAAGCACCGGCUAACUACGUG
This 490-nucleotide ribosomal RNA is filed under the name uncultured bacterium. Its description in RNAcentral is "partial 16S ribosomal RNA". It matches the Rfam family "Bacterial small subunit ribosomal RNA", at positions 30 to 507 of the family's 1533-position model. The record is from RNAcentral.